ACGUAGGAGGCAAGCGUUAUCCGGAGUUACUGGGCGUAAAGGGCGUGCAGGCGGUUGGCUAAGAUCCUUGUGAAAGCUCCCCUGCUUCCCCUUUCUCUUCCCCUGAAGACUGGUCAGCUAGAGGACGGUAGAGGGGUGUGGAAUUCCGGGUGUAGUGGUGAAAUGCGUAGAGAUCCGGAGGAACACCAGAGGCGAAGGCGACACCCUGGGCCGUACCUGACGCUAAGACGCGACAGCACGGGGAGCGAACGG
This 252-nucleotide ribosomal RNA is filed under the name uncultured prokaryote. RNAcentral's name for it is "partial 16S ribosomal RNA". It matches the Rfam family "Bacterial small subunit ribosomal RNA", at positions 525 to 775 of the family's 1533-position model. The record is from RNAcentral.